RNAcentral lists this ribosomal RNA (497 nucleotides) under uncultured bacterium. Its description in RNAcentral is "partial 16S ribosomal RNA". It matches the Rfam family "Bacterial small subunit ribosomal RNA", at positions 28 to 507 of the family's 1533-position model. The record is from RNAcentral.
GACGAACGCUGGCGGCGUGCCUAAUACAUGCAAGUUGAGCGAUGAAGAUUGGUGCUUGCACCAAUUUGAAGAGCAGCGAACGGGUGAGUAACGCGUGGGGAAUCUGCCUUUGAGCGGGGGACAACAUUUGGAAACGAAUGCUAAUACCGCAUAAUAACUUUAAACAUAAGUUUUAAGUUUGAAAGAUGCAAUUGCAUCACUCAAAGAUGAUCCCGCGUUGUAUUAGCUAGUUGGUGAGGUAAAGGCUCACCAAGGCGAUGAUACAUAGCCGACCUGAGAGGGUGAUCGGCCACAUUGGGGCUGAGACACGGCCCAAACUCCUACGGGAGGCAGCAGUAGGGAAUCUUCGGCAAUGGACGAAAGUCUGACCGAGCAACGCCGCGUGAGUGAAGAAGGGUUUCGGAUCGUAAAACUCUGUUGGUAGAGAAGAACGUUGGUGAGAGUGGAAAGCUCAUCAAGUGACGGUAACUACCCAGAAGGGGACGGCUAACUACGUG